Molecule: long non-coding RNA, 2242 nt
Filed under: Marmota monax (woodchuck)
Lineage: Eukaryota; Metazoa; Chordata; Mammalia; Rodentia; Sciuridae
Source: RNAcentral
UGAGUUUUGUUUUGUUUUUUUUUAAUGGAAGAAUCAGACAUCUGUUUUUCAGUCAUUUCUGUCAAGUGUUAGGUUGAAAACAUAUAGGUAUAUGAAAAGAAGACACACCAACUACAACUUGGACAGUAGCAUUGGCUUGGGUCUUUUCAGUGGUGAGUUUUACCUUCUUAAAUCAAAUGCUAUAUUUAUAAUUAGAAACAUUGUUUCUUUUAAGACCCACCCUCAUCAAACUGGUAAGUAGAAAUACUAGGCUGGGUUGAGAUGGUGGACUACAGCUAAAUCAUUUGUGCCUAUGGUUAUGAACAGAGAAGGCAGCUUGGAAGCAUUGAGCCAAGUUCAAUUUGGUCCAUUUUAAGUUGAAGGUAGAGAAUGUGGCAGAGAUGCUGCCUACUGUUUGUCAGAGGUAAGAUUGCAUUUACACUGAGCAGUACAUCUUGAAAUUUCUUAAUUUGACAGUUUCAGUCUCACAUCUGAAUAUUGUUUUUGAAGAUGAAGAUUUGGAGAAACUAAAACUAAUAAGACAUAGUCCUUGCUCUUGAUAAGUAUGUCCUUUUAAAUACAUGUCCUUUUUGGAAACUUUCAGUCAUUUCAAAUAUAGAGGCUAAUAUAAUGAACCCCCAUUGCCCAACUUCAACCAGUUGUCAACUCAUGCCAAUCUUAUUUUGUCAAAUUCAGAGCUAUGGAAUUUUACCUAACUUUAUCAAUCUGAAUGUCUUUAUCUCCUUUCUCCCUAAAAAUGCUGUUCCUCAGGGACACAAUGUAAUAACUCCAUUACCAAUACUAUCGAGAAGGUACUUCUUUAUAUGCUAAAGUUUUAUUAAAUAAACUCUUAAUUCAGAGGAUUUUUUUCAUACAUGUUCAUAUAUGAUCUCUACAUCAACCUUUCAAGGAAGGAUGUUUUUGUUUUCAUUUCAUGAAUGAAGAAACUUAUUCUUUGGGAGAAAUUUGACUUGUCCAGCCUCAUAUAAUUAAGUUCUCUCUAAGUUAUCUUUUUAAUUUUUUAAAUUUAUUUUAUUUUAUUUUUUUUAGUUGUAGAUGAACAAAAUACCUUUAUUUUAUUUAUUUUUUAUGUGGUGCUGAGGAUCAAGCCCAGUGCCUCACAUGUGCUAGGCAAGCGCUUGACCACUGAGCCACAACCCCUGCCCCUCUAAGUUGUCUUAUAUGUGUAGAAAUCUUUACUCAAGACAUUCUUCAUUUUGCCCUUUACAAUUGUGUAAUAAAAUCUGAGAAAGCUACAGAUAGCUAAGAGAAACUGAAGUUGAUAAGAAUGGCAAAUAGGUUUUAUCUUGGGAGCUAAACCAAUAGAUCAUUUGUAGCUGUUAGGCCUUGGUGUUAAGAAACUUGUAAGCGUGUUCCUAACUUAUUGGGAAAGUAUGUCCUUACUGAUAGUAACCCGACAUGGGUAUGGGCAACCCAUGUGUGGCAUGUAUGAGGCAGUUGGGCUAAGUAAACCUGCUAAAGACCUUUAGCUUUAUAUAAUACCUGGUGGUGCUCUUUGAAAAUUUCUGCUUUUUCUACCAUAAAUUUAGCUAAUUUCUCAGUAGGGUAUGGGAUUCCUUGUAUCAGUUCAGGAUUGAGUUUAACAACAUGCAAUCGAGUGACUUUAAUAAAUGUGAAUUUACUUUUCUGUCAUGAAUUGAGAAGAUAAGAGUUAGCCAGUCAAGAACUGACAAGGCAUCUCCAAGAUGACAUUAGGAACCCAGGUUUCUCUAUCCUACUUAGCCAUCCUUAGAGUAUGUUUUUGAUUGAAACAUAACUCCUAAGACUUCAGUCAAGGAGGGGCAAAAUGUGACAUGCUAGAAAAUUUCUUUAAAGACCUUUCUUGUAAACUCUGCCCUGUGAGUUCUGUUUAAACUAUAUAGUGCAUGACCAUCUCAUCUGUAGCAAAGCCUUCUGAUAAGUGUUUCCUAAGUACAUCAGUGCCCAACAACAUUGGACUUAUGAUAGGAAGAAAAGGAGAAUGGGAUAAUCCAGUCAACUAAGUAUUUGCCAUGGUCUUCCCCUUCAGCUACCUAAUGUCCUUCUUUUUUCUAAAGUGAGAACGUACCCACCUUCUUCUCAAUGGCAGCACCUCCAGAGUCUCAUCUAGUUUGUAUAUUCAGUUGAAAGCCAGGUCUUUUGAGUAAUUUUAGGUCUUCCAUGAGGUCUGGAUGUGGCAUGUUGUGGUCAGGUCCCAUAAAUUCAAUUUGUAAAUACUCCCUCCUCUAGAAUUACAUCGGUAGACAAGAGAAGAGGAUAAUUU